Long non-coding RNA from Aegilops tauschii subsp. strangulata, 533 nucleotides. RefSeq lists it as uncharacterized. Lineage: Eukaryota; Viridiplantae; Streptophyta; Magnoliopsida; Poales; Poaceae. The record is from RefSeq and is a predicted model, not a curated record.
UCCAGCCGGCUUUACACCAGAAAACAUACAUACUCGGGCGCAUUUAGACGAGCACCAAGCAAGUGCACGUCUUCCUCCAUGGACAGGUCCAUGAACCCCUUCCAUACAGCGGUCAUAGCGCUCUCGGUGCUCCUCCUUGUGUGCUUCGUUAACCACGGGCAAUGCAGAACCUUGGGUCAUCAAGACAUGGGAAGCAGCAGCAAGAUCAAUAUAUCACCGGGCGGGCUGUGCGUCAAAACAUCCUGCUCCGGUGUCACAGCGCACGUGUGUUUCUGCUGUUUGAUAGACAGUACCUGUCAUAGUUCAUUGGCCGAGUGCGAGAAAGAGUCAUACUGUCAAAGAUCUUCCACCCUAGACGCCGCUGCGGCGACGACCCCUGCUCCGUCGACGCCCACCGGUCUAAUCUAAUGGAGUACAUGGGUCGCAUUUCUGAAUAUUUUGUAACUUUCGCUCCUUGGUUGCUCGAAUGUCUGAAAUUCUAAAUGAAAGAGGUUUCGAGAGUUGAGGAUUAAUUUAUCUGAUGUGUUUCCUUU